UUGAAAUAAAUCUGAUGAGUUGUUGCUGGUUCUCUAUGGAACAUUGUGCACACUUGUUGUCUUUAUAUCUCUCCACCUGUGCACCUUUUGUAGACCUGGAUAUCUUUCCAAGUGCCCUUGCACUUGGGUUUGAGGAUUGAUUUUAUUGUCUUUCCUUACAUUUCCAGGUCUAUGUUUCUUCAUAUACUCUAAUGCAUAUUAUUGAAUAUAAUCAAAUGGGGUGUUAUAGCCUUAUAAACCAUAUA
RNAcentral lists this unclassified non-coding RNA (245 nucleotides) under uncultured Thaxterogaster. RNAcentral describes it as "sequence contains ITS1". Lineage: Eukaryota; Fungi; Basidiomycota; Agaricomycetes; Agaricales; Cortinariaceae. The record is from RNAcentral.